UAUCACAGUUCUUUGUCACCCU
RNAcentral lists this microRNA (22 nucleotides) under Ascaris suum (pig roundworm). RNAcentral's name for it is "asu-miR-43c-3p". Its record names the gene asu-miR-43c-3p. The record is from miRBase by way of RNAcentral. Lineage: Eukaryota; Metazoa; Nematoda; Chromadorea; Rhabditida; Ascarididae.